This 254-nucleotide ribosomal RNA is filed under the name uncultured bacterium. Its description in RNAcentral is "partial 16S ribosomal RNA". It matches the Rfam family "Bacterial small subunit ribosomal RNA", at positions 524 to 776 of the family's 1533-position model. The record is from RNAcentral.
UACGUAGGGCGCAAGCGUUUGUCCGGAAUUAUUGGGCGUAAAGAGCUCGUAGGCGGCUUGUCACGUCGGGUGUGAAAGCCCGGGGCUUAACCCCGGGUCUGCAUUCGAUACGGGCUAGCUAGAGUGUGGUAGGGGAGAUCGGAAUUCCUGGUGUAGCGGUGAAAUGCGCAGAUAUCAGGAGGAACACCGGUGGCGAAGGCGGAUCUCUGGGCCAUUACUGACGCUGAGGAGCGAAAGCGUGGGUAGCAAACAGG